UACGUAGGGUGCAAGCGUUGUCCGGAAUACUGGGCGUAAAGCGUGCGCAGGCGGUUUUGUAAGUCAGAUGUGAAAUCCCCGGGCUUAACCUGGGAACUGCGUUUGAAACUACAAGGCUAGAGUGUGGCAGAGGGGGGUGGAAUUCCACGUGUAGCAGUGAAAUGCGUAGAGAUGUGGAGGAACACCGAUGGCGAAGGCAGCCCCCUGGGUUAACACUGACGCUCAGGCACGAAAGCGUGGGGAGCAAACAGG
This 252-nucleotide ribosomal RNA is filed under the name uncultured bacterium. Its description in RNAcentral is "partial 16S ribosomal RNA". It matches the Rfam family "Bacterial small subunit ribosomal RNA", at positions 524 to 776 of the family's 1533-position model. The record is from RNAcentral.